Lytechinus pictus (painted urchin) is the source of this 6988-nucleotide RNA transcript. It is a transcript of the gene named casein kinase II subunit alpha-like, with no coding region annotated. Lineage: Eukaryota; Metazoa; Echinodermata; Echinoidea; Temnopleuroida; Toxopneustidae. The record is from RefSeq and is a predicted model, not a curated record. The transcript is spliced from 11 exons.
UGCAUCAUUGCCUUAAUGGCCGUUCUUUUCUUUUUCUUCCAAUGCUGUUGCAGGCAACAGGAUGACUAUCAGAUCGUCAGGAAGCUGGGAAGGGGGAAGUACAGUGAGGUCUUUGAGGCAGUUAAUAUCACCAGCAAUGAAAAGUGUGUGAUCAAAAUCUUGAAGCCUGUAAAAAAGAAGAAGAUCAAGAGAGAAAUCAAGAUCCUGGAAAACCUAAGAGGAGGCCCUAACAUCAUAGCACUACAAGCCAUUGUCAAAGAUCCAGUGUCCCGGACGCCAGCUCUUAUAUUCGAGUAUGUCAACAACACAGAUUUCAAGCAACUUUACCAAACGUUAAAAGACUAUGAAAUCAGGUACUACCUGUUUGAACUUCUAAAGGCUUUAGAUUACAGUCACAGUAUGGGUAUCAUGCAUCGUGAUGUCAAACCACACAACGUCAUGAUAGAUCAUGAAAACAGACGGCUACGUUUGAUAGACUGGGGUUUAGCAGAAUUCUACCAUCCUGGCCAAGAGUACAAUGUCAGAGUAGCAUCAAGAUAUUUCAAAGGUCCAGAACUCCUAGUCGACUACCAGCUGUACGACUACUCACUAGACAUGUGGAGUCUGGGCUGUAUGCUAGCGAGUAUGAUAUUCCGCAAGGAACCUUUCUUCCACGGCCACGACAACUAUGACCAACUUGUGAGGAUUACCAAAGUCCUUGGCACAGACGAGCUCUAUGAGUACCUGGACAAGUAUCAGAUUGAACUGGAUCCGAGGUUCAAUGAUAUCUUAGGAAGGCAUUCACAUAAACGAUGGGAACGGUUUGUCCAUAGUGAAAACCAGCAUCUAGUCAGUCCAGAGGCUCUUGAUUUCCUGGACAAAUUAUUACGUUAUGACCACCAGGAGAGACACACUGCAAGGGAAGCCAUGGAACACCCAUACUUUUACCCAGUUGUGAAGGAACAGAACAGAUCGAUGCCACCAGUCAUGAGUACGCAACCCAACACCUCAACUAGCGCCACAAAUUCAAGCAGCGCAUCAUCUGCUCGUAAAGGUAAAGGAGAGGCCUUUAUUCCAUAAAAGCCUAUUGUUUAUAUUUGGGAGCCAGUACAAUUCAUCCAACUUAUACCCACGAUCGACACGAAAGCACGGCCGUCCGGCACCAUCCCUGGAGCCCCCUUGAUUCCGACACCCACAGCCCAGACUGUCUCACCGAUACCCAACCCCAGCCCAGCAGCAGCAGUAGCACCAUAGAUGCAGUAUCCUCUGGACAGUGGUUUAACCAAAACAUAGAGAAGGUGUUGGGGAGGGAGGGGGAGGAGGCAAGAUGGUGCUAGGUUGUGGGUCAACACUGAUACUUAUGUCUUGUUUUGGAGCUCAUUUUGACAGCUCCUGUUAUUGCUAUGUUUUCUACGGGAAAAUGUAAGGAUGGUUCUCUUACCCUAGUAUCUCUGUUGCACGAUCAGCAUUAUGGUUAUAGAAGAUGAGGUCCUCCAUUCCCAUCACGAUCCCUUCCCAACAUUUGUUCCACGCUGAAAUUUUAAAAGAUCCAUUCUUUUGGCUACACCACUUCACAAUUGUUUCCAUCAUUGUACACCCUUCCUUGCUUUUGCAAAGAAAACACUUAAAUUUAGAUCAAGAAUCCUUGAAGAAUACAGUUUACAUUUUUGUGUCUUUGAGAGUUGUUUGAUCUGCCAUGCCAAACAGCCUGGCCUGGGUUAUAUUCUGGGAUUCCUGAUUUUGACACAAGAGAACAACAAGCAUUGACAAGGACAGCGCUCUCUACAUUGUUUCUCUUGAGUUUAUAGCAAGAGGGCAUUACCAAUAUUUUUCUCUAAAAGUAGAGUAGAGUAGCAAGUGGGUUACAUGCACUUGUAGAGCAACUACAAAACCCAAGCAAAUGAUUUGGUGAUUUUGAAUGUGAAUAGUCUGUGUCGAGAUAGGAAUCAAGUUUGUCCCUUCCUUUUUCAAUGUAUAUGGUGUGUAAGAAAUUAACAAGUUAUAUUUUAGAAUGAAAAGGAUAGGAGAUAAAACAAUGUAAAAGUUGUCGAUUGGUGGCAGUUUUCAUUGAAAUCAAUGAUGCCCAUGGCAAGCUGUAAUUGCCUUGUAUAGUAGCAUUUAAAAUGGGCAUGACUGAUUUUAUACUAUUUCAUUGACAGGCUGUGAGGCCUUUAACUUUGUUGUAUGAUUUUAAUGAAAAUUUUGAGGCAAGUUUUAAGUUAUGAUAUAAAGUUUGGGUUGUAUUUUAUCAUGAAUUUCCUCGAUACAGAAAAUGGAAAUCUGUUCUUUUUUUUUUAUAUGACUUGUUCGUAUGUUUGUAUGUCUGAAUGUAGUGUGGGUACUGACUUCAUACCAAAUAUUGAGUACCGAAUGUCAAGCUUACAAUGGUUUAAAAAAAACCUGCAACAAAUUGGCGAAAGUUCAGUAACCGUUCAAACUUUCAGUCUAAGAAUCUUUUAUAAUAUACCAAUAUAUAUUACAGUGAUGUUGAUAUAGGUAUUUGCUCAGACAGAUCACAAAAAGUUGGGAUUGAUGUAAGGGGAUGGCAGCAGAUACUCGGUCUAUAUCCAUUACAUAUGGUCUAGAAGCAUUUGUCUUCUUUUCAAAUAGUCCUGAUACCUUAUGUGCUGAACUCAUUUGGUUUCAUCAUUCUUGGUCUAAUUGUCAUUUAGUCUAAUGCCCACAUUGUCUUAUUUCCACCAUGUCUACAAAUUAUUUUGCACUUAGUGAAAUGAAAAUUGGAUUCAUACACUGUUCAUCUAAGCAUAUAGAAUUAGUGGUGUUAAAGCUAGUGAAUAUCAGACAAAAAGGGUAUAAUACAUGUACCCUAACUUGAAAUUAGACGAUAUGGUAAAUGGACUAAAGUGACAAUUACCGGUAGACCAAAUGUUUUGUAGGCAAACUUGGAAUAGACAACUCCAGUUUAUACCAAGUGCCAAUUUACCAGAUCUUCAUGGGUUGUGUUGUAGGGAGGAGUAGUUUUGAUAACCUUGCACUGAGUGGAAGAGUAAAGGGAAAGUGGGCUAGGGGUAUGGCUACUGAGUUCUAUAGCUUAUGUGGCCUUUGAACAGGAACCACUGGGUUUCAGUUGCCAAUGGGUUAAUCUGUUGAUGACUGAAUACAUAGGCUCUGUACAGGGUCCAUAUCUAGAAACAGAUAAAUGAAUAGGAUUGCUGAAAGUAGAAUUGCUCUUGGGGAGCUGUAGACCUCUUUGGUUGCCAUUGUAAGAGUACCUCUUAUGACAACUUGUGAUAUGAACACCAUCUUUUGUCCAUGAUUGCACAAUAUGUCUAUUCAAGUCGAGCAACAUAUUGAUAAAAAAAACUUUCCAGGGCUACAUUUGAUCUCACCAGCCAAAAUUUGCUACAUUUAUUACAGUUUACAUUUGAAAUUAUGAUAACUUCAGGGAUUCUUAUAGUUUCCUUGCGGACAAUAGACUACACAACAUAUCUUAUUCACUAUCAAUGCUUGUCUGUAUUAGAGAAGGAUUCUAAUGUCAUUACUGUGUCGAGAAAAGACAGCACCCUGUCGCUUCUUUUCUAUGAAGAGUUUCUCAAGCCAGUGUAAUACAGCAGUAACACCAACGAAACUGACUCCAGACUGAUUGAUGGUAUGUUAUUGGAAAUGACAUUAGUCAGUCUGGAGCAUAACAGUAUUGACAGCAGGGAAGAAUUGCACGGGGGCUCCGGGCAAUUUCAACCCCUAAGUGCUCAAAAGAGCCAUGGAAAAUCUUCAUUCAUUGUAGCGUUAAAGCUUCCCCAAUUUUGCAGAUUUGCCCAAAAAGCUUGUGAAAAGUAGCACCCGAAAAUAAUAAUAAUCAUCAAUUUUUUUGCCUGACAGAGAUGUUGUCAUGGACCAGGGGGAAAUAAUCAUGCAAAAUAUGUGUUGGUUUUAUAAAUUGAUGGCAUUCCAUGUGAAAGAUGUAUUUAGCUCAACUUGGAAAGUCUGCAGAUGGUUAUUCCCAAUUCAUAGAUUUUGUUUUAAUAAUGCAUAGAGCUUGAUAGUGGCCUAUUUUUGGAAGGCCGGGGCUUUUGUUUGUGGUUAGACAAAGAAGGAAGCUAUUGAUUUUUAUUAUGGUAACUUAUUUUCACAAACUUAGCUACACUCCUGCCUUUUACAGUGGCAUUUUUAUACAUAUUAAUCUUCUCCUGUUGAAAAUUUAUUAUAACCCCUAAGAAAAUUCAUUUUGUUACAGUGUUCUACAUAGGUGGUCAUUAUAGAAUUUCAUUACAGAAGCUGCUAUUGUGACUGGAAUGAAUACAGUUUAUUUAAACAAGUGAAUUCCAUCACAUUUUUUUAGAUCAUUAAUGCUAAAAAUUGUGAAACCUCGCUAAAAUUCGGUACAAAUCUAUUAAGCGAUAAUGUUAGAGAUUUUUCAUGAGCCAUUACAUGCUAUUUUUUUUCAGGCUAUGUUAACCGUUUAAACCCCCCCCCCCCCCAAAAAAAAAAAAAGUUAACUUGGUUUGAUUUAAUGUGGUGUAUACUUCCUCAUAUGGAGGACAAAUCUCCAUUUGUUACGCAGCCAGUCGGGUAUAUGUGUCAUUGUGAGAUUUUUAUUAUACUAUGUAUUUAUGAAUCAAACCAUCAUUUUGGGGACAUGUACAGAUGAACUGAAUUUUGUAGAAAUCUAAGAUUGUAUAUUUUGUACCACUUUUUCUUCUUUUUUGUUGGUUUAAUUUAAACAUGUCUGCUUAUGGUUUGAGAUUUUCAGUAUUCUCUAAUAUACUCUAAAAGAUGUCUACAACUAUUUCAAAGAGAAAUUUCACCUUGUGUGAGGGCUGAACUCUAAACCAUUUCAAACUAUUUCAAAGAGGAGAUCUCAAGAUUCUGCCAUUCGUGAGGUUGAUAUUUUUGUCAGUGCAGUUCAUUUCAAUGAGAAUUCCUCAUUUGCAUUUCAAGAAGCUUUGAACGUUUCUACAAGAAUGGGUUAUAAAACUGCCUUUGAUUUGAAACUUUAAUAAUGAGUUCUCUCCUAGGUGUGAUAUCUUAUAAGCGAUCUACUAUUCAUCAUUCAUCUUUUUUUUUUUUCUUCUUUUUUUUUUUAGCAGUCCUUGUUUUAUGUUGCAUUUUUUUAGUGGAGAGAGGGUCAUAUUUAUUGUUGCCUGUCUCCAAAAACUUCUUUAAAAAAAAUGCAACCUGAUACUCUUAACUGAAAACACUUCAGUUAAAAAAAAAAUAAAAAUAAAGUUUACAAUUAAUCUUUAGAAAAAAUAACAAACCUACCCUUCACGCAUUGAUGGAUUUAUUAAGCAUUACAGGUUUCCAGUUUGUUUGAGUGCAUAAAUAACUUUACACACUGUAGCGAAAUGUUAUAAAUUCCUGCUAAUUUAUUUCGGGAUUGGUGGGGGUGGGAGGAUGAUCAUUUCUCAAUGCUUUUGUUAGAGGAACCUUUGCCUGAUACUAAACAGUGGUGCUAAAAAUAGUGAACCUCACCAGAAAAUGAACAUAUUUAAAAGUGUUCAAGUUCUGCCAUGUUAUAGACUGUUAGGUGAUAAAAUACUACAUUCAAUAAAGUUUGUUUCUCUGAGCUUGCCCGACAUUGUAGUGUUGUCCACAUUCAACACUCAGUAUGAAGGAAUGCAUUUUGUGGUGGGGUUUACUAACUUUUUAGCACUACUGUAUAGUCUACUGUGUAGUCUACUAUUUUUGGCAUUCUUGUAGGAUUUUUAUAAGUGGAAUUUCUUUUAAGAAAUUCUGUAUAACAUGGUGAGCUUGAAUUAUUACCUCUUUGUUUUUUUGUUGUCAGUAUUCACUGAUUAUAUUCUGGCUUGGAUAAAAAAAAUAUUGAGAUGCAAAAAAAUGAUAGAUCCACCUUUCUUCCUAGUAACACAAACAUGGACCACAUUGUAUAGCUGCUUAAUCAGAUUCUGAAAAAUGAUGAAUGUAGCUUGAAUGUAUCAUUUUCUCUACUUCAGAAUUGUCUUAGAAAAAUAAAAUGAAAAUUCAAAAUUGUGUUCUUCCUAGCUACAAAAGUGGACCACAAUGUAUAGAAGUUAACCCAGAUGAUAAAAGGUGAAUGUACUCUGGAAUUGAAUAUGAGUUUCCAUUACUUUGGAAUCCCUUUUUUAUAAUUAUAUUUGUGAUACAGUACUGUGAUUAUCAGUGUGUCCCCUAUGUUUUAUUAUGCAGGAUUUCAAGACAGUGCCCAUUUAAUGGGAAGAUAGAAACAUUUUCUUUUUAUUUAGCAUGAGAGAAAUUAAAUACUCGUAUAUUUCAUAGACAGAGAUAAUACAUAGAGAAAAUUUUUAUUUUAUCCCUUCACUAAAGAGACUAAAAAACCUUGACUGUUGCUAGUAAAAUCCCAAAGCAAGAUGUGAAUUUUUGGUAGUUUCUGUCAUUUUAUUUAUACUGUUGGCCCAUUCCUAGGUUGUUUAUAAUGGAUAUGAGAUGUGAAAUUUAGAUGGAUAUUGGAAAUUACGAGCACUGCACUGUUUGUAGGGCGAGACUUUCUUAUAGUUUGAAUUGUUAGUGAUGCUGCAUUCUGUAGUAUAUGCAUUUUAUUAAUUGCUACCAAUGGCAAAUUAAAAGCAAGCGAGGGCAGCAGACUACCAGUGCUAUAGUAUACAGCAAAUGUAAUUUAUAGCUACAGUAAGAAAACUUGUCAGGGGAAUAUAGACUUCCCUUAUUUUCUGUGAAUACCUUUUGAUUACUUGUAAAUUUAACCCUUUUUUCAAAUCAUCAUGUAGAGCUCUUGUAAACCUGACAUGUAUUACAUUUCUUUUUCUUUUUUUUCAUUCAAUAUUUGGAGGAAAUGGUUUCCUCUGUAAUGUUCUUUUGUGAUUUGGUUAGUUUUGAAAACACCAAAUAUAUACUAAUGUCCACCGUUUGUGAGGUGUGCAUAGGAAAGUGAUUUUAUUUCAGUAUUUUUUAUGGUUAACACUGAGUGUCAAAGUAAAGUGUCACAUGGGUCGAUUGAGAUACCUACUUUUCUUUCCCCUACUCAUUUGAUGGUACAUAAACAUGAUAAUGAAUAAUAAAUAUUGAAAAUUAUUGUUGUCAACACUACAAA